This 490-nucleotide ribosomal RNA is filed under the name uncultured bacterium. RNAcentral describes it as "partial 16S ribosomal RNA". It matches the Rfam family "Bacterial small subunit ribosomal RNA", at positions 30 to 507 of the family's 1533-position model. The record is from RNAcentral.
AUUGAACGCUGGCGGCAGGCCUAACACAUGCAAGUCGAACGGUAACAGGAAGCAGCUUGCUGCUUCGCUGACGAGUGGCGGACGGGUGAGUAAUGUCUGGGAAACUGCCUGAUGGAGGGGGAUAACUACUGGAAACGGUAGCUAAUACCGCAUAACGUCGCAAGACCAAAGAGGGGGACCUUAGGGCCUCUUGCCAUCGGAUGUGCCCAGAUGGGAUUAGCUAGUAGGUGGGGUAACGGCUCACCUAGGCGACGAUCCCUAGCUGGUCUGAGAGGAUGACCAGCCACACUGGAACUGAGACACGGUCCAGACUCCUACGGGAGGCAGCAGUGGGGAAUAUUGCACAAUGGGCGCAAGCCUGAUGCAGCCAUGCCGCGUGUAUGAAGAAGGCCUUCGGGUUGUAAAGUACUUUCAGCGGGGAGGAAGGGAGUAAAGUUAAUACCUUUGUUCAUUGACGUUACCCGCAGAAGAAGCACCGGCUAACUCCGUG